AUGGCUUUCAACCCAAACCCUCCAGGCCUCGGCUUCCCCUUCCCCUUCUUCCCUCCACCCAACACCUACGCUCCUCCAAACCCUUUCGGUCCAAGGCCGCCACCAAGCCCUUUCGGUCCAAGGCCACCGCCACGCCCUCAAGCACCACCACCUCCACGACAGCCUGCGCCACCCGUUCAACCCCCGCCGCGCCCUCAAGCCCCACCACCACCACGGCAGCCUGCGCCACCCAUUCGACCCCCGCCGCCUCCACGCCGUGCUCCCCCACCACCAACCCAGCCUCCUCCUCCGCGCCGUGCUCCACCUCCGCCAACUCAGCCCCCACCUCCGCCCCGGCGUGCGCCACCACCACCUCCGCCACCUCGCCGUGCUCCACCCCCACCAUCACCGCCCAUUCGCCCACCUCCACCACGCCCACUAGCCCCACCUCCGCCACAUAUCAGCCCGCCAACACCUCCACCUAGCCCUCCACACCACAUGGUCAUCAUCGUGGUGUUCGUCUCCCUAGGCGGGCUCCUCCUGCUUGCAUGCCUAGCUGCCUUCUGCUUGCACAAGAAAAAGAAGAGGAAGACAGAAAGGAAGGCAGAGGUAUUGAACUUCAGCGACCAUGUCCAUGUCCACAAAUCGGCCAUGUCGGGCCCUGGGGGAUCCAAGGCCGUCAGGCUGACAGUUGACGAGGACGUCAAGUUCCAAGAGGCGGUUAAGGAAUCAGAGGCCGUCGGCAAAGAGUCAGGCACAGCCACAGCAGGAAACCACAGCGCCUGGAUGUGGAACAAGAAACAGAAGAGCAAAGCAAAGCAGGAUUCAGAGGUCAUCAACGUCACCGGACACAUCCAUGUUGAUGAGAAGAUCGAGUCAGGGCCCCACGGCGAGAAGAUCGAGGUCCUUUCAGAAGAUGAAGAUAUCAGGUUUGAAGAGGCAGACAACAAAGAAGAAUCGUCUGCAAAAUCAAAGGGACGCAUUACCAAGUUCUAA
This 975-nucleotide ribosomal RNA is filed under the name Triticum aestivum (bread wheat). RNAcentral describes it as "partial small subunit ribosomal RNA". Lineage: Eukaryota; Viridiplantae; Streptophyta; Magnoliopsida; Poales; Poaceae. The record is from RNAcentral.